GACGAACGCUGGCGGCGUGCUUAACACAUGCAAGUCGAACGGAAAGGCCCUGCUUUUGUGGGGUGCUCGAGUGGCGAACGGGUGAGUAACACGUGAGUAACCUGCCCUUGACUUUGGGAUAACUUCAGGAAACUGGGGCUAAUACCGGAUAGGAGCUCCUGCUGCAUGGUGGGGGUUGGAAAGUUUCGGCGGUUGGGGAUGGACUCGCGGCUUAUCAGCUUGUUGGUGGGGUAGUGGCUUACCAAGGCUUUGACGGGUAGCCGGCCUGAGAGGGUGACCGGCCACAUUGGGACUGAGAUACGGCCCAGACUCCUACGGGAGGCAGCAGUGGGGAAUAUUGCACAAUGGGCGGAAGCCUGAUGGAGCAACGCCGCGUGCGGGAUGACGGCCUUCGGGUUGUAAACCGCUUUCGCCUGUGACGCAGCGUGAGUGACGGUAAUGGGGAGAGAAGCACCGGCUAACUACGU
This 467-nucleotide ribosomal RNA is filed under the name uncultured bacterium. RNAcentral's name for it is "partial 16S ribosomal RNA". It matches the Rfam family "Bacterial small subunit ribosomal RNA", at positions 28 to 506 of the family's 1533-position model. The record is from RNAcentral.